GGGGGCGACCGGUUUCGACGGGGAUAUUGACGCCAUCGUUGCAUGUCGAGAUCUCGGGAACUCGUAAAAUUCCGGGAAAAACGCAACUGCCAAC
RNAcentral lists this transfer-messenger RNA (94 nucleotides) under Nitrospira sp. Its description in RNAcentral is "partial transfer-messenger RNA". It matches the Rfam family "transfer-messenger RNA", at positions 1 to 98 of the family's 374-position model. Rfam says of the family: Bacterial tmRNA, also known as 10Sa RNA or SsrA, is named for its dual tRNA and mRNA-like properties. Its role is to liberate the mRNA from a stalled ribosome. To accomplish this part of the tmRNA is used as a reading frame that ends in a translation stop signal. The record is from RNAcentral. Lineage: Bacteria; Pseudomonadati; Nitrospirota; Nitrospiria; Nitrospirales; Nitrospiraceae.